This 215-nucleotide ribosomal RNA is filed under the name uncultured bacterium. Its description in RNAcentral is "partial 16S ribosomal RNA". It matches the Rfam family "Bacterial small subunit ribosomal RNA", at positions 568 to 776 of the family's 1533-position model. The record is from RNAcentral.
CGCGUAGGCGGCUUCUUAAGUCAGAUGUGAAAGCCCGGGGCUUAACCCCGGAAGUGCAUUUGAAACUAAGGGGCUUGAGUAUGGGAGAGGGAAGUGGAAUUCCUGGUGUAGCGGUGAAAUGCGUAGAUAGGGGUCAGGAGGAACACCGGUGGCGAAGGCGACUUCCUGGUACCAAUACUGACGCUGAGGCGCGAAGGCGGUGGGGAGGCAAAACA